AGCAUGGGGCGAGCGAAUACCCCGUGAGGCGUCAGCUAAAGUUUCGCGUCCAUUGAUCCCCAGAAACGGGAGGACGCACAAUG
This 83-nucleotide non-coding RNA is filed under the name Roseibium aggregatum IAM 12614. RNAcentral's name for it is "chrB RNA". It matches the Rfam family "chrB-a RNA". Lineage: Bacteria; Pseudomonadati; Pseudomonadota; Alphaproteobacteria; Hyphomicrobiales; Stappiaceae. The record is from RNAcentral.